This 251-nucleotide ribosomal RNA is filed under the name uncultured bacterium. RNAcentral describes it as "partial 16S ribosomal RNA". It matches the Rfam family "Bacterial small subunit ribosomal RNA", at positions 524 to 776 of the family's 1533-position model. The record is from RNAcentral.
UACGAAGGGGGCUAGCGUUGCUCGGAAUCACUGGGCGUAAAGGGUGCGUAGGCGGGUCUUUAAGUCAGGGGUGAAAGCCCGCAGCUCAACUGCGGAAGUGCCUUUGAUACUGGUUGUCUCGAGGGAGAUAGGGCAUGUGGAACUUCCGGUGGAGCGGUGAAAUGCGUAGAUAUCGGAAGGAACGCCGGUGGCGAAAGCGACGUGCUGGAUCUCUUCUGACGCUGAGGCGCGAAAGCUAGGGAGCAAACGGG